Molecule: ribosomal RNA, 253 nt
Filed under: uncultured bacterium
Lineage: Bacteria
Description: partial 16S ribosomal RNA
Rfam family: Bacterial small subunit ribosomal RNA
Source: RNAcentral
UACGUAGGGUGCGAGCGUUAAUCGGAAUUACUGGGCGUAAAGCGUGCGCUGGCGGUCUCGCAAGUCCGAUGUGAAAUCCCCGGGCUCAACCUGGGAACUGCGUUGGAAACUAGCGGGCUGGAGUGUGGCAGAGGGGGGUGGAAUUCCACGUGUAGCAGUGAAAUGCGUAGAGAUGUGGAGGAACACCGAUGGCGAAGGCAGCCCCCUGGGCUAACACUGACGCUCAUGCACGAAAGCGUGGGGAGCAAACAGG